AAUUUUGCUCAAUGGGCGCAAGCCUGAAGCAGCGACGCCGCGUGAAUGAUGAAGUCUUUCGGGAUGUAAAGUUCUGUCGAUGGGGACAAUAAUGAUGGUACCCAUAGAGGAAGCACCGGCAAACUAUGUGCCAGCAGCCGCGGUAAUACAUAGGGUGCAAGCGUUAUCCGGAUUUACUGGGCGUAAAGCGUAUGUAGGCGGCAUUUUAAGUCAAACUUCAAAUCCCGGGGCUCAACCUCGGUUCGGGUUUGAUACUGAAAUGCUAGAGUUUGGGAGAGGAAAGCGGAACUAACAGUGUAGCGGUGAAAUGCGUAGAUAUUGUUAGGAACACCCGUGGCGAAGGCGGCUUUCUGGACCAACACUGACGCUGAGAUACGAAAGCGUGGGGAGCAA
RNAcentral lists this ribosomal RNA (393 nucleotides) under uncultured bacterium. RNAcentral's name for it is "bacterial SSU rRNA". It matches the Rfam family "Bacterial small subunit ribosomal RNA", at positions 360 to 771 of the family's 1533-position model. The record is from RNAcentral.